This 479-nucleotide ribosomal RNA is filed under the name uncultured bacterium. RNAcentral's name for it is "bacterial SSU rRNA". It matches the Rfam family "Bacterial small subunit ribosomal RNA", at positions 37 to 507 of the family's 1533-position model. The record is from RNAcentral.
UGGCGGCAGGCCUAACACAUGCAAGUCGAGCGGUAACAUUUCUAGCUUGCUAGAAGAUGACGAGCGGCGGACGGGUGAGUAACGCGUAGAAAUCUACCUAGUAGUGGGGGAUAGCCCAGAGAAAUUUGGAUUAAUACCGCAUACGCCCUACGGGGGAGAGCGGGGGAUCUUCGGACCUCGUGCUAUUAGAUGAGUCUGCGUCGGAUUAGCUUGUUGGUGAGGUAAUGGCUCACCAAGGCGACGAUCCGUAGCUGGUCUGAGAGGAUGACCAGCCACACUGGAACUGAGACACGGUCCAGACUCCUACGGGAGGCAGCAGUGGGGAAUAUUGCACAAUGGGCGCAAGCCUGAUGCAGCCAUGCCGCGUGUGUGAAGAAGGCCUUAGGGUUGUAAAGCACUUUCAGCAGUGAGGAAAGGGGUGUCGUUAAUAGCGCCAUCCUGUGACGUUAACUGCAGAAGAAGGACCGGCUAACUCCGUG